Molecule: ribosomal RNA, 603 nt
Filed under: Triticum aestivum (bread wheat)
Lineage: Eukaryota; Viridiplantae; Streptophyta; Magnoliopsida; Poales; Poaceae
Description: partial small subunit ribosomal RNA
Source: RNAcentral
GGCUACUUUGGCCUGUGUGCACUCCACAAGAUCUGGAGGCAGUAAUGGACUGCUUGUGACACUUGGGAGCAUGCGAGGCAUGCCAUUAGCCCGGCUAUUCCCAGAAAGGAUGGUGGACAGAUCACCGCUGCCCUCAUUCAUCCACUUCUGUUGUAAUUGGGCUUGCCCAAGAGAUGUCGCCAAACCUUGUCCCAAGUUCCCAUGCUGGUUUCCUGGUAGGCUAAGAUGAUACUUAGCUGCAUCACCAAUCAAAGGAUUUGUUGUGCAACUGCUACUUCCAGUCGGAAUUGACCUGGAAGUGGCCACCCCCUGAAUCACAACCGCUGUCUGGUUGUUUCUAGGACUAUUUAGCAAUCCAUGUGCACUGAAAGUCGAUAGCGCUGCGGGAGAGGUGAAAGCUUGAUAACCCUGGAGUCCUUCGAAUGCAUCCAUGCGCAGAAAGGGGUCUCUGCCUCCCAAGGCAGCAACGAUGCCAGCUUGUUGUGAUGCCACAGCACUUAACCGUCGGAGAUAAAGCCUAUAUUUCUGCAUGUGACUUGCAACAUUUUCCCUAGUGAGUUUCUCAACAUUCAUAAGCUCGAGUAUCCUUUUUGGCACAGCUUC